RNAcentral lists this long non-coding RNA (798 nucleotides) under Marmota monax (woodchuck). Lineage: Eukaryota; Metazoa; Chordata; Mammalia; Rodentia; Sciuridae. The record is from RNAcentral.
CUGUGUGUCCUAUUUUUUAAAUGGCCACUAGGCUAUGGCAGUUCAGCCCAGCCAGCUCUGUACCAGGCCAUGGAUGAAUUCAUGAUCUAUGGCCUGAUGAGAGGUCGUUGUGCUUCUCCCUGGGGCCAGGCCACUGUAUGCAAGACUUCCCACCCUGCAGAACUGUGGGCUUGUCCACUUUUCUCCCUAAAGUGGCUCUGAGAUGCUGCAUAUUUGUAGCAGUCUGGAGGAAGCUCUUCCUGAAACCAGCCACAUUCUAGGAUCUUCCCCAUAAUGGACUUUCUCCUAAGCCUAGGCCAGCAAAUCAGCUGACUUUCUCAUCAAUCUCUUCUCAUCAACAGGCUUUCUUACCCUUUCUUUGGGAUAUGCUUCCUUCCAGCCAGAGACCUCACACCCUCCUCAGCCUGAGGUUCCAUGUGAUCCACCUAGGGAUCUCCCAACUUGUCUUAGAUUCACACAGCUGCUUGAUAUCUCUUCCCAGAGGAGCUGGGUGGGAAUUCUCUCCCUGCUUCCCCAAACUCUUGUCUCUCCCAAUCCAGGGCUCAUUCUACUGCUGCAGGUGAGAUACAAGGUCUGGUUUGGGGCCUCAAAACCACAAAGCAACGCAGCUCCUGAAGUUGUCCAGCAUCAGGUUCUAGUAGAAGGCCCUGUGGUCCAGGUCAGAUGCUCUACUCUUCUCUUAACAAGUGCACGGCCAUGUCCUCAAAGGUCACUGGCUCCUGAAACACAGGCAGCUCCAGGACUGGCCUCUCAUGUUUGUAGGAUCAGCAGUGGCCACACCCUGUCAGGAAAUCUCAG